AGAGCAUACGGUGGAUGCCUUGGCGAUAUCUGCCGAUGAAGGACGCGACAAGCUGCGAAAAGCUGCGGAGAGGUGCAAAUGACCAUUGACCCGCAGAUCUCCGAAUGGAGCAAUCCGGCAGGGUUUAUCCCCUGUCACCCAUAUCUUCGAAUAUGGGAGGGAACCGGGCGAACUGAAACAUCUAAGUAGCCCGAGGAAGAGUAAUCAAACGAGAUACCCCAAGUAGCGGCGAGCGAACGGGGCCUAAGCCCAAACCGGUGAAGGAAACUUUGCCGGGGUUGAGGACUGCCAUACGAACUAGCCCAUUAGCCGAAAUUCCUGGGAAGGAAUGCCGAAGAAUGUGAAAGCCAUGUAAGCGAAAAUGGAAAAGGGACAGGCAGCACCAGAGUACCGCGGGACACGAGAAACCCCGUGGGAAGCCGGGGGGACCACCCUCCAAGGCAAAACACAGAUAUCGACCGAUAGCGCAUAGUACCAUGAGGGAAAGGUGAAAAGCACCCCGGGAGGGGAAUGAAACAGAACCUGAAACCGUAUGUUUACAAGCAGUCGAAGACCGCUUAAUAAUAAGGUCAACGGCGUGCCUAUUGAAGAAUGAACCGGCGAGUUAUGAGGUCCAGCAAGGUUAAGCAGGAAAUGCGGAGCCGAAGCGAAAGCGAGUCUUAAUAGGGCGACAAGUUGGAUUGCAUAGACCCGAAACCACAGUGAUCUACCCAUGUCCAGGCUGAAGCACAGGUAAAAAUGUGUGGAGGGCCGAACCUAUAUCCGUUGAAAAGGGUUAGGAUGAGGUGUGGGUAGGGGUGAAAUUCCAAUCGAACGUGGAGAUAGCUGGUUCUCCCCGAAAUAGCUUUAGGGCUAGCCUCGAGGUAGAGAUUGCAGGCGGUAGAGCACUGAUCAGGAGAGGGGCCUACCCGGCUACCAAACCCAGUCAAACUACGAAUGGCUGCAAUUAUACUCGGGAGUCAGACUACGACUUAUAAGGGCCGUGGUCAAAAGGGAAACAGCCCAGAUCAUCAGCUAAGGUCCCAAAUGCCGUGCUAAGUGGCGAAGGAUGUGGCGUUUCAUAAACAACCAGGAUGUUGGCUCAGAAGCAGCCACCAUUUAAAGAGUGCGUAAUAGCUCACUGGUCGAGAGACGCUGCGCCGAAAAUGUCCGGGGCUCAAGCACGGAACCGAAGCUAUGGCAUGAUAGCAAUAUCAUGGGUAGGGGAGCGUUCUUAACAGGAAGAAGCAUGACCGGAAGGACAUGUGGACCGUUAAGAAGUGAGAAUGCCGGUAUGAGUAUCGAAAAGAAAGGUGAGAAUCCUUUCCACCGAAAGCCCGAGGGUUCCUGAGCAACGAUCGUCGUCUCAGGGUAAGUCGGGACCUAAGCCGAGGCGGAGACGCAUAGGCGAUGGACAACAGGUUGAAAUUCCUGUACCGGAUACAAUCGUUUGAGCGAUGGAGCGACGCAGAAAGGCAUAUGAUCGCGCGACUGGAAGAGCGCGUCCAAGUGCGUAUGUUGAAUCGGAGGCAAAUCCCUGAUUCUGAAAGCAGAGACACGAUGGGGAGUUAUACGAAAGUAUGACGAACUCAUAGAUCCUACACUGCCAAGAAAAACUUCUAGUGAGAAAGUAUCCGCCCGUACCGUAAACCGACACAGGUAGGCGGGGAGAGAAUCCUAAGGUGCGCGGGAAAACCCUCGUUAAGGAACUCGGCAAAUUGCAUCCGUAACUUAGGGAGAAGGAUGACCUUAAGUAAGCGAAAGGGAGAAACCCCUGGAACAGAACAAGGUGGCAGAAAAGAGGCCCAAGCAACUGUUUACCAAAAACACAGGUGCCUGCGAAAGCGAAAGCUGAAGUAUAGGUGCUGACGCCUGCCCGGUGCUGGAAGGUUAAGGAGAGAUGUCAGAGCAAUCGAAGCAUUGAACUGAAGCCCCAGUGAACGGCGGCCGUAACUAUAACGGUCCUAAGGUAGCGAAAUUCCUUGUCGGGUAAGUUCCGACCCGCAUGAAAGGCGUAAUGAUUUGGGCACUGUCUCAACGAGGGGCCCGGUGAAAUUGAAAUACCUGUGAAGAUGCAGGUUACCCGCGACUGGACAGAAAGACCCCAUGGAGCUUCACUGCAGCUUGAGAUUGAAUCUCGGUGAUGCAUGCACAGGAUAGGUGGGAGACUAAGAAGUAUGGGCUUUGGCUUAUACCGAGUCGAUGUUGGGAUACCACCCUUGUAUUGCUGAGAUUCUAACACGGAGGCUAACAACCUCGUGGACCAUCUCAGGUAGGCGGUUUGACUGGGGCGGUCGCCUCCGAAAGAGUAACGGAGG
RNAcentral lists this ribosomal RNA (2297 nucleotides) under human gut metagenome. Its description in RNAcentral is "bacterial LSU rRNA". It matches the Rfam family "Bacterial large subunit ribosomal RNA", at positions 14 to 2306 of the family's 2925-position model. The record is from RNAcentral.